This 164-nucleotide ribosomal RNA is filed under the name uncultured bacterium. Its description in RNAcentral is "partial 16S ribosomal RNA". It matches the Rfam family "Bacterial small subunit ribosomal RNA", at positions 355 to 511 of the family's 1533-position model. The record is from RNAcentral.
UAGGGAAUCUUCCACAAUGGACGAAAGUCUGAUGGAGCAACGCCGCGUGAGUGAAGAAGGGUUUCGGCUCGUAAAACUCUGUUGUUAAAGAAGAACAUAUCUGAGAGUAACUGUUCAGGUAUUGACGGUAUUUAACCAAAAAGCCACGGCUAACUACGCGCCAG